AUGGGAACGCGAAGAACCUUACCUACUCUUGACAUCCAGAGAACUUUCCAGAGAUGGAUUGGUGCCUUCGGGAACUCUGAGACAGGUGCUGCAUGGCUGUCGUCAGCUCGUGUUGUGAAAUGUUGGGUUAAGUCCCGCAACGAGCGCAACCCGUUAUCCUUUGUUGCCAGCGGUUCGGCCGGGAACUCGAAGGAGACUGCCAGUGAUAAACUGGAGGAAGGUGGGGAUGACGUCAAGUCAUCAUGGCCCUUACGAGUAGGGCUACACACGUGCUACAAUGGCGCAUACAAAGAGAAGCGACCUCGCGAGAGCAAGCGGACCUCAUAAAGUAUGUCGUAGUCCGGAUUGGAGUCUGCAACUCGACUCCAUGAAGUCGGAAUCGCUAGUAAUCGUAGAUCAGAAUGCUACGGUGAAUACGUUCCCGGGUCUUGUACACACCG
This 440-nucleotide ribosomal RNA is filed under the name uncultured bacterium. RNAcentral describes it as "bacterial SSU rRNA". It matches the Rfam family "Bacterial small subunit ribosomal RNA", at positions 954 to 1392 of the family's 1533-position model. The record is from RNAcentral.